This 253-nucleotide ribosomal RNA is filed under the name uncultured bacterium. RNAcentral's name for it is "partial 16S ribosomal RNA". It matches the Rfam family "Bacterial small subunit ribosomal RNA", at positions 524 to 776 of the family's 1533-position model. The record is from RNAcentral.
UACGGGGGGAGCAAGCGUUGUUCGGAUUUACUGGGCGUAAAGGGCGCGUAGGCGGCGUGACAAGUCACUUGUGAAAUCUCCGGGCUUAACUCGGAACGGUCAAGUGAUACUGUCGUGCUAGAGUACAGAAGGGGCAACUGGAAUUCUCGGUGUAGCGGUGAAAUGCGUAGAUAUCGAGAGGAACACCUGCGGCGAAGGCGGCUUGCUGGGCCAGUUCUGACGCUGAGGAGCGAAAGCGUGGGGAGCGAACAGG